Molecule: long non-coding RNA, 1706 nt
Filed under: Theobroma cacao (cacao)
Lineage: Eukaryota; Viridiplantae; Streptophyta; Magnoliopsida; Malvales; Malvaceae
Description: long non-coding RNA (TCAC_LNC002613)
Source: RNAcentral
AAGGAAGUAAGUCCCAAAGAGAUCUUUGAUGAAAUCGAUUGCUUACAGACUAUCCUGAAUCUGAAAUGGUUAAAAUGAAAGGGUGAGUUUUCAUAAACUCAGUGAGUAAACAAAGUCUGUCAUUAACUUCUAAAGCCGAGUAAAUAGAGACAGUUAACUUUUCAUCAUACUAUAAUCCACAACAUUUUGUACUUGUUUCAAAUCAUAUAAAACAACACAUUUCAUUAUAAUACUCAUCACGACUUAUGAUUUUCUUAAAAACUUGGCUCGUGCCAAAAAUCAUACUCGGUGAUACCUUGGCCGAGGCAUUCAACUGAGUCCGCCAAGGUUAUUAAGUUAACAACUACUCAUAAAAACAUAGUUUACCCAUUUCUUGGCGUUGGUAGAGUUCAUCCUCAAGUGGUGGUUUGGCGUGAAGUGAACUCUAUCGUACCUUAGGAGAUAUCCUUCGCGCCUCUCAUACUAAGGUAAUUAUAACGGGAUUUAUCGUGCCCCUCUAGUAGGCUGGUCCACAGAAACCCACCUAUUGUAGUGGCUAAUUAAAUAACCCACUAAUCAAUAAAAUUUUGACAGCAUAACGUGGCUAACUUAAUACUACCCAGCUUGUCAAAGGAAAACAAACAGUUUAUAUAUUUCACAACCCAAAAACCCAGCCACAUAUGUCAUCACGUAUCAGUUCAUAAAUCAUCAAUUCCAAACAUAGGUACGUAAACUUAAAUAUAUAGGCAACAUCAAAGGUUGGUCUCCACAUACUCACAUUUUUUUUAAAAAAAACAUUAUUGAAUUGUAAAAUAAGUCAUAAACCUUAUUCCUUAAAUCGAUUAUUAGUCAUAAAACAUAAAAUUCAUUUAGGUUCAAUAUUCUUAAAAUCAUAAAAACGAUUGUAAAAAUACUCUAGAUAAAUAAGAUGAACAGUGGUUACUCACUUUGACGGGAAUUUACAACACUCAUAGUCUUGAUCCUCAAGUGCAAUACCUUUGCUCUUAUCCGAGGGCUCACCACCUAUACAUAAUGUGCAACAGGAAAUUUAAUAUUCUUAUGCUACAUUGUCACAAAACUAUUCUAUAUUCUAUAUGAAUGCAUGCAAUGAAAUGGGAGGUCUUUGGCGUAUCGCGCACUAUACACUAUUUAAUCGGUCUAAACGUCCAAUUCGGUUCCAAUUAAUUUAUUGCACUUCCAAUACUCCCCAAAAUUUCACACACUUCAAUAAAAAUCUAUUCUAAGUGCAAUUACCAAAAUAUCCCUCAUUAUUGUGCAAAUUGCUAACUAACGGGAGUAAAAUUUUUUGGUACCCGUUUUCGAUUUUCGAUAUUCCUAAGCACCAAAUACAAUCUAAAGGGCAUGAAAAACUACCAAAUUCAUCAUCAAACCUCACCCAUAAAAUUCGGCCAAGAUAGGUUCUAUUAUGGGCAUGUGGAUUUCUUGCUUAAUUUUCAUACUAAAUGUUACUAAACACCUAAAAACAUUAAGUUACCUUGAAAUUCAACUAAAUGCAUCACCAACUUUCUCUCUCUAAAUUUGGCUAGCAUAUUGCCCCUCAUGAAAACUUGAAUUUAAUUCAUGGAAAAUGGAAAGGAAUGCAUGGGCAAGAUGAAUUUCAAGCUUAAGAUUAAAAAUCUUACCUUUAAUCACCAAUUUCUUGAAAAUUCAACAAAUUUUCCUUAGUUUUUCCUCCCUAGGAUUUUUCUUUUCUUUUCUUCUCUUUU